CGACACUCACACUACGACAGCAUAGGAUUAUAUAUGCAAUGCAAGCAGCGGAACAUAGGAUUCGGGUGCAUGCAUGCACCAUCUGUCAAGCAGUGCCACUGUCAUGCAUCAUGCAUGACGCCACGGUCGCACCAGGUCAGGUCUUGUUGUGCUGCCUGGCAUCUACUAGCUAGCAGUAGACAUCCCAUCGAUGACCAUCUGUCGAGCCAGGCAUAUGGUAACGACGCAGCAAGAGACUGGCCGGCGUACCAGAUCGAGCAGCAGGGAGUAUGUUCGUUACAGGUUACUGACCUCGCCUCGGACGACGAUGGAGGU
RNAcentral lists this unclassified non-coding RNA (315 nucleotides) under Zea mays. RNAcentral's name for it is "misc RNA Zm00001eb332880". The record is from RNAcentral. Lineage: Eukaryota; Viridiplantae; Streptophyta; Magnoliopsida; Poales; Poaceae.